This 118-nucleotide small nuclear RNA is filed under the name Macleaya cordata. Its description in RNAcentral is "U5 spliceosomal RNA". It matches the Rfam family "U5 spliceosomal RNA". From Rfam's summary of the family: U5 RNA is a component of both types of known spliceosome. The precise function of this molecule is unknown, though it is known that the 5' loop is required for splice site selection and p220 binding, and that both the 3' stem-loop and the Sm site are important for Sm protein binding and cap methylation. The record is from Rfam by way of RNAcentral. Lineage: Eukaryota; Viridiplantae; Streptophyta; Magnoliopsida; Ranunculales; Papaveraceae.
AGCCGUGCGGUGAGCACAAAGCGAACUAUUCUUUCGCCUUUUACUAAAGAAUACCGUGUGCACGCCGCUAUCAGCGGCAUACGCCUAUUUUUGGAGGGUUUUCCCACAGUGGAAAGCC